Helianthus annuus (common sunflower) is the source of this 486-nucleotide long non-coding RNA. RefSeq lists it as uncharacterized. NCBI's taxonomy places the organism in Eukaryota, Viridiplantae, Streptophyta, Magnoliopsida, Asterales, Asteraceae. The record is from RefSeq and is a predicted model, not a curated record. The transcript is spliced from 3 exons.
AUCCAUAAACAUAUGGAUUUAUGUUUUAUACUUUUAAUCUUUUGUUUUUUUACUAUCGUUGAUUAUAAUCACAAAUAUGUAUUUAUAGAUUUGAUGUUUUUACUAAUUUUGACUAUUGAAAUUCCAAAAAAAUCUAAUCUUCAUGUUUGGACGAUCAAUCGGAUGGUGAUUUUGAAGUUGUUGAUCAGUCGGAUAGUGAUGUUUCUACUGAUGGGAUGUUCGAUGAAGAUGACGAGCAGGAUACGGAUGCACAGAGUAUCUUAAAGUUUUUGACAAACGUUUUUCUGGGAAGACCCUUAGCGAAAAGAGAUACGAUUAACUCGAAGGUUAUUAAAGAAGUUGUUUCUGCACUGGGCCGACCUUUGGCAGACGUGUUUUUGCACUAACAGAAGAAGGUUAUGGUGAAUUCACAGUCACUACAAAAAUAAAAAAAACAAGUUUCAUUAUGUUAAACAAGUUUUGAAUUGUUUAAUAUAUGUUUUCAGG